UUAACUAUUAUAUAGUACUCAGACGACAUGUAUAAACAGAGUUUAGGGUCCUCUGGCGAGCACUCACCAGCGUGAGCCGGUGGCCGAGGCGGCUCGCCAAAGCAACAAAGGUAUAAUUAACAUAGGGUUGGAGAGUCACCCUUGCGGGCGAGUUUCUCUGUAAUGAUCCCUCCGCAGGUUCACCUACGGAGA
RNAcentral lists this unclassified non-coding RNA (192 nucleotides) under uncultured fungus. Its description in RNAcentral is "sequence contains ITS1". Lineage: Eukaryota; Fungi. The record is from RNAcentral.